This 173-nucleotide unclassified non-coding RNA is filed under the name uncultured Hypocreales. Its description in RNAcentral is "sequence contains ITS1". Lineage: Eukaryota; Fungi; Ascomycota; Sordariomycetes; Hypocreales. The record is from RNAcentral.
UAGAGUCUAAAAACUCCAUAAAACCCAUGUGAACUUACCAUUUGUUGCUUCGGCGGAUCGCCCCGGGCGCCCCUCUUCGCGGGGGGUGCCCCGGAACCAGGCGCCCGCCGGGGACCUCUCAAACCCUGUUUUUUUAUAGCGGACUCUCUGAGUGGAUUUAUACAAAUCAAUCA